AAGAAAUUCUCUUUCGUACGAGCCAGUCUACACUGGGUUUCUCUCUCUUGCAUAAGAGCCCUAACUGAUAUAACAUCCUGUGCAGCGAAUGAGGACUUCUAAUGUUGCUGCCGGCUUCACCACAUGACCAGCCCAUUCUUCUCCGUUUCCUCAAGCUCCCCGCCUGACAAAGGCCAGAGCACAGUCUGGAGGCCCCUCUCCUGCAAGGCAAAGGCUAGCCUGUCUGAUGGCAAAGGCACCUGUAACUGAACACUCUUGGGGUCCACCACCCACACGCAACAAACACUUGUUCAAAAGCUGGAGAUGAAGAAAUGCUUCUUGUCAAGUUUUCUUAAGGCCUCCUUGCUGCUGGUAGCAACCCCCAGGUAAAUACUUGCAUUUCUGCAUUUGCUUUUUUGUCCUGAGUUUUGAUCACAGAUUUUCCCCAGCAAGCACUCCUCCUCAGGUUCUCCCCAAGCCAGCGAGGACCAAAGACCACAAGCAAAGGAUUGUGGGAGUCUUCGCCCUCAUGCUCUAGGGGUAGAUGAAGAACUGACUACUGGAAGUACUGAUACCAAAGGAUGCCAAUCAGUGCUAACCCCAGGUCUUGAGAGCUCAUUUAUAAACAAUGUACACAAGUUAACAUUAAAAAACACAUAGAAAAAGUGCUAUUCAAUUUUAAAUGCAAAUUAAGAUGCUAAUGUAAAUUUACUACUGAACUAACUACUGAAAGUGCUGAUGCCAAUCAGUGUUAACCCCAGGUUUUGAGAGCUCAUUUACAGACAAUGUACACAAGUGGACAUUAAAAA
This is a long non-coding RNA of Pipistrellus kuhlii (Kuhl's pipistrelle), 788 nucleotides long. RefSeq lists it as uncharacterized. NCBI's taxonomy places the organism in Eukaryota, Metazoa, Chordata, Mammalia, Chiroptera, Vespertilionidae. The record is from RefSeq and is a predicted model, not a curated record. The transcript is spliced from 2 exons.